UGGGGAAUAUUGCACAAUGGGCGAAAGCCUGAUGCAGCAACGCCGCGUGAGUGAUGAAGGUCUUCGGAUUGUAAAGCUCUGUCUUUUGGGACGAUAAUGACGGUACCAAAGGAGGAAGCCACGGCUAACUACGUGCCAGCAGCCGCGGUAAUACGUAGGUGGCGAGCGUUGUCCGGAUUUACUGGGCGUAAAGGGUGCGUAGGCGGAUGUUUAAGUGAGAUGUGAAAUACCCGGGCUUAACUUGGGUGCUGCAUUUCAAACUGGAUAUCUAGAGUGCAGGAGAGGAGAAUGGAAUUCCUAGUGUAGCGGUGAAAUGCGUAGAGAUUAGGAAGACACCAGUGGCGAAGGCGAUUCUCUGGACUGUAACUGACGCUGAGGCACGAAAGCGUGGGUAGCAAACAGGAUUAGAUACCCUGGUAGUCCACGCCGUAAACGAUGAGUACUAGGUGUAGGAGGUAUCGACCCCUUCUGUGCCGCAGUAAACACAUUAAGUACUCCGCCUGGGAAGUACGAUCGCAAGAUUAAAACUCUAAAGUGAAUUGAC
This 544-nucleotide ribosomal RNA is filed under the name uncultured bacterium. Its description in RNAcentral is "partial 16S ribosomal RNA". It matches the Rfam family "Bacterial small subunit ribosomal RNA", at positions 355 to 914 of the family's 1533-position model. The record is from RNAcentral.